AUUGAACGCUGGCGGAAUGCUUUACACAUGCAAGUCGAACGGUAACGCGGGGCAACCUGGCGACGAGUGGCGAACGGGUGAGUAAUGUAUCGGAACGUGCCCAGUUGUGGGGGAUAACUGCUCGAAAGAGCAGCUAAUACCGCAUACGACCUGAGGGUGAAAGCGGGGGAUCGCAAGACCUCGCGCAGUUGGAGCGGCCGAUAUCAGAUUAGGUAGUUGGUGGGGUAAAGGCUCACCAAGCCAACGAUCUGUAGCUGGUCUGAGAGGACGACCAGCCCCACUGGGACUGAGACACGUGCCAGACUCCUACGGGAGGCAGCAGUGGGGAAUUUUGGACAAUGGGCGCAAGCCUGAUCCAGCCAUGCCGCGUGCGGGAAGAAGGCCUUCGGGUUGUAAACCGCUUUUGUCAGGGAAGAAAAGACUCCUGUUAAUACCGGGGGUUCAUGACGGUACCUGAAGAAUAAGCACCGGCUAACUACGUGCCAGCCGCCGCGGUAA
Molecule: ribosomal RNA, 498 nt
Filed under: uncultured bacterium
Lineage: Bacteria
Description: partial 16S ribosomal RNA
Rfam family: Bacterial small subunit ribosomal RNA
Source: RNAcentral